UACGUAGGGUGCAAGCGUUGUCCGGAAUUAUUGGGCGUAAAGAGCUCGUAGGCGGUUUGUCGCGUCUGCUGUGAAAACGCGAGGCUCAACCUCGCGCCUGCAGUGGGUACGGGCAGACUAGAGUGUGGUAGGGGAGAUUGGAAUUCCUGGUGUAGCGGUGGAAUGCGCAGAUAUCAGGAGGAACACCGAUGGCGAAGGCAGAUCUCUGGGCCAUUACUGACGCUGAGGAGCGAAAGUGUGGGGAGCGAACAGG
RNAcentral lists this ribosomal RNA (253 nucleotides) under uncultured bacterium. RNAcentral describes it as "partial 16S ribosomal RNA". It matches the Rfam family "Bacterial small subunit ribosomal RNA", at positions 524 to 776 of the family's 1533-position model. The record is from RNAcentral.